UAACUGUUGGCAUGAAAAAUACCAUUUAUUCAAUAUAAACUUCAAAAAUUAAAUUGAGUGGAAAGAAACAAGUUCUUUUCUUGAUCCAUUCUGCACUUAUACUCCAAUUCUAUGCCCAACAUGCAGCUUUGUUGCAUGUAUUGUAUGAGUGUCCUCCAUAAUAAAAGCUUUAUUUGAACCUCCCCCCUCCUUCUACAUCACUCAUGGUUAGAUCAAAACAGUAGAGACAAAAACUGAAACAUGCCCGGGGUGCAGAAGGAGUAGGCUAAUGGUGGUGAGGAGGAAGGGGGUUGAUUUUCACAUCUCAGAACUGUUGAGCCUGCAAAUAUUACUGAAAUCACAUCUGGGAACAAAGCUCUUUAAGUAAUUUCACCCAUGAGUGUUGCUAAGCAAUGGAGAAAAGGCGAGGGAGACAGAGAGUGCCUGACUUUAGGAUUAGAAGGACAGAUAGGAGAUAAAAAGUAAGGCUUCCACAUUGCCUUAUUUGUGUGAACUUAUGAGUUUUGUUUUUACUGCCUGUCUUCCCAAACUAUCUGUACUACAAUUAAUCAGGUCUUGUUCAGUGUCUGUACCAAUAUAUACGCAGAGAGCUGAGCUGCAUCCUGGAGCAGUGGCACAAGCAGUUCCGCACCAGAACUGUCAACAUCUGUUUCUGGAUUAAACAGCACUCCAGCAUUGCUCUGUGUACAUGGGAUGCAUUUUCCUGGCAUGCAAAUGGAAUUUUACAGACUGAACAAUGGAAAUUAAUCAAGAGAUUCAGCCUUGUAACCACAUUUUUAUUUAUACACCUUCAAUUAAUAUUUUUAAAAGCAUAGACUCUGAACCAAAUAUUUUAAGCUCAACAUACAAAGGCAACUGCCUGUUGAAGAAACAACCUACAACUUUUCCAUUGAAAGGUGAUAAAUGAAUCUCUGAGAUCGGAAAGUUUCCCAUGCUUAACACAUAAAACAGGUUACCUCUUGUACUAUAUUUUAUUCACACACACAGUCAGCAGCAAAUCAAUGGGCAGCUGCUUUACAGCUCCACAGACACAGUCAAACAAAUUUUUAUCCAUCAAGAAAUCAUACAGGCAGCCCACAAAGUGAUCAAGUGGAAAUAUAAACUGGAAUAGAAGAAAGGUCCUGUGGAUAACCAUAUUAUCAGUUUUAUAAAGCAAAACUCUUGAAAUGGAUGACAUGCAGAAACUAUACAGAGACGCAUGAUGUUGCAUGUUGCUAAUUGACCUAUUUUUUUGUUUCCUUUUGCUUUUUGUUAAUGAAAAGCAAGGAAGGGCAGAAGAAGAAAUCUUUCCUACCAGCAGCAGCAGGGUUGCUGCAACAAGAUGGUAAUUCCCUCCUGCUACUCUGCUGACAACGACCAAGCUUCACAGGAGGAGCAAGGCAUUGUAAUCACGGAAUUAAAAAACAUGGCAGUUUCUAAA
This is a long non-coding RNA of Columba livia (rock pigeon), 1420 nucleotides long. RefSeq lists it as uncharacterized. The record is from RefSeq and is a predicted model, not a curated record. The transcript has 2 exons. NCBI's taxonomy places the organism in Eukaryota, Metazoa, Chordata, Aves, Columbiformes, Columbidae.